This is a non-coding RNA of Camelina sativa (false flax), 1896 nucleotides long. The record is from RefSeq and is a predicted model, not a curated record. Lineage: Eukaryota; Viridiplantae; Streptophyta; Magnoliopsida; Brassicales; Brassicaceae.
CAAAAAAAUAAAUGAGAGAAAUAAAAAAAAAUAGAAGAGAGCCUCUUAUUUAGUAUAUUCGUCUAUGGAAUAAGAGACCAUACGUGUCACGUAUUCCUUGGCCAAACAGAUUAACGGAAGAAUUUUUUUUUUUUUUGAUGUUCGAUCGAAUUUUUUUCUUCCUCUUCCUCUCCCUCUCCCUCUCUCUCUCUCUCUCGAUCGAAGUCGCGAAGAUGUUGGGGUCGGAGGAUAUUUUUGAUGGUCGAUUGAUUUUUUUCUUUCUCUUCCUCUCCCUCUCUCUCUCUCUCGAUUGAACUCAGAGGAGAUUAAAUUCGGGGAUUGCCCUUCUCGGCUUUUUGAUUUCCUCAUUCGAAUCUUUUCUUUGUUUUUGGUGUAAAUUGUUUGGAAACAUUGGAUUGUCAUGCAUAUGAUUCUAUGUUUUUAUUGGUGUUUGUGUGAUCAAGUUUUGAACUUUCGAAUUGGGUUUGGUGAUGGUGGCUUGAAGGUGUUUCAUGUUUGUUCUUUUCGCAAUUGGCUAAAUCCCAAACUGAGAACUCUCAAAUUCAGAGAUGCAAUAGAUAGGCUAAAACAUCAUAAUCCUUGAUAAGCUUGUUGAUAGGAUUCUGAAUCUGUUUCCAUUUGAAGUUAAGAAGCAUUUUGAUUAAACUUAGCAGAAUUUUGAAUCUGUUGUUUUGAUAUCACUCUUAUCUAAUUUGGUCUGAGUUUACUUGUAAACUGGAUUUUGUAGUUUGAUCCCUUGUUUUGUCCGAUUUCAUUUGAGAAGCAUUGUGUAGCCUCCAUUGUCUUUGUUUGAGAACAUGGCUCGUAAAUAUUUGUUUGAGAACAUGGCUCGUAAAUUUUGAUCACCAAAAGCUAUUGUUAAAUCUAGUUUAAUUACAAAAUUUCUUGUUAAAUCUAGUUUUUGUUGAAGUUCGUUGUGUUAUGUGUAGUUAAGAUAACAGACAGGAGAUGUGAAGAAAGCUAUUGUUCAGAAAACUAGAUUGGAAGCUAGUGAAGUCAAGAUCUUGUUCAGGGGAGUUGAGAACGAUCCUGAGCAAUUGCAAGCUGCUGGUGUUAAGGAUGCCUCUAAGCUUGUCCUCGUUGAGGAUCAGAACAAGAGAGUGGAACAACAACAACAACAAGUUGAACAACCUCUUGUGGUAACUGAAGAGACGAAGAAGGCGAUUGCUGCAAUUCUCGCAGUCACAGAAGAGGUCGAUAAGCUUUCAGAUAGGGUGAGAGAAAUUUAUGGCUGUGUCUUUUUGGUUGUUACUGUAGGAGAGAAGAAAUGAACUAAGGAUUGGGACUAAAGUUGCAGUAAAGGAGUUUGAUAUGACUUCUCAUGAGGCAGUUUCUUAAAUUGGAUGGCAUCAAUGCAGAAGGAGAUGCUAGGUUACAGCGUAAGGCAGAGGCUCGUUCAGCUGAUCGAAGAACUUGCUAAGAUGAUACCAAGAGAGAAGCUUUCUGAACUGCAUGGAGACUCUUUUAUGGAGAUGUGUCCAUCAUUUGGAGCUGAGUACCUACGUGAUUUCAAGGUGGAAACUAUUGGAUUGAAGGAUACAUCAAGAAGGUGUUCUGUUCAAAAGUGGGAAGUUAAUUUGUCAUGCUGAUGCUAUUCUUGCAAAGGCAGCCAAUGUUUUGCGGAGACGUCAGGAAGAAGAGAUAAGCUCUGUAAUGCUGGUUGCAACUAUUGGUGGUAUAAGACAUCUUCGCAUCCUGCUGCAAUAUUAGCUUUGAGAGGUCCACACAUUCUCCAAGUAGAAAUUUGUUGGAGUCUUUGAUGGGUUAUUGUUUGGUUUGAAAGCAAACAAAACUGUAAAUUGCAUCUUUUUCUCUUAUUCUUUUAAUUUUAACUUGGAGUACGAGUUAAGAUGUACUUAAAUUAAGAUCAGCUUGAUGGAUCUCGAAGUCGAGGUA